CAGUAGCCGCGGUAAAACGUAGGGUGCGAGCGUUAAUCGGAAUUACUGGGCGUAAAGCGUGCGUAGGCGGUUUGUUAAGUCUGUUGUGAAAUCCCCGGGCUCAACCUGGGAAUGGCAAUGGAUACUGGCAAGCUAGAGUGUGUCAGAGGAUGGUGGAAUUCCCGGUGUAGCGGUGAAAUGCGUAGAGAUCGGGAGGAACAUCAGUGGCGAAGGCGGCCAUCUGGGACAACACUGACGCUGAGGCACGAAAGCGUGGGGAGCAAACAGGAUUAGAUACCCCGGUAGUCCCUGUCUCUUAUAC
RNAcentral lists this ribosomal RNA (301 nucleotides) under uncultured bacterium. Its description in RNAcentral is "partial 16S ribosomal RNA". It matches the Rfam family "Bacterial small subunit ribosomal RNA", at positions 509 to 807 of the family's 1533-position model. The record is from RNAcentral.